AGCUUAAAGUUUGAUUCUUGCUUAUAUUUUUUAUAUUAUGAUUAAAAAAUACAUGAAAAUUAUAGUGUUCCCUUAUAUUAUAAAUUUAAAAUUUAAUAUAAUUAAAUCUCAGUAUUCAGUAUUAAAUAUUAAUUAACAUUAGAAUUGGUAAUCAUUUAAAUCCUGACCAAAAUUUGUGCCAGCAGUCGCGGUUAUACUUAGAGGGUAAAUAAAUAUAAUUUGGUAUUUAUAGUAAAUUAUUAGUUAAUUAAAACUUAUUAUUUUUUCUAAAGGGUAAAAUCAGAAUUUAAUAAUAAUAAUAAUUUUAAAAUAAAACUAAAAUAAACUAUAGAUUUUAAUAUAUAAACUAGGAUUAGAU
This 358-nucleotide ribosomal RNA is filed under the name Oedignathus inermis. Its description in RNAcentral is "partial 12S ribosomal RNA". Lineage: Eukaryota; Metazoa; Arthropoda; Malacostraca; Decapoda; Lithodidae. The record is from RNAcentral.